This is a long non-coding RNA of Eptesicus fuscus (big brown bat), 224 nucleotides long. RefSeq lists it as uncharacterized. The record is from RefSeq and is a predicted model, not a curated record. The transcript is spliced from 3 exons. Lineage: Eukaryota; Metazoa; Chordata; Mammalia; Chiroptera; Vespertilionidae.
UCUAAUGCCUGUGGCAUUUGAACUAUGUCUUCUUUGAUCUACUUACUCCCUCCAUCUACACUUUUGGGAGUUAUAUAUUCUAUUUCUACCAAGAGUCUCAACACUGAUGACUUCAUUUUUCUCCCAGGUGGAUUUGAGGAGUUCUGCACGUAAGAAGAAGUGUUGAUUCCACAUGAUGUCAGGAGGAAAAAUGAUCAUGGGGGUGGUAAACACUCACCCCUAUU